Molecule: ribosomal RNA, 499 nt
Filed under: uncultured bacterium
Lineage: Bacteria
Description: partial 16S ribosomal RNA
Rfam family: Bacterial small subunit ribosomal RNA
Source: RNAcentral
GAUGAACGCUGGCGGCGUGCCUAAUACAUGCAAGUCGAGCGAACAGACGAGAGUGCUUGCACUCUCUGACGUUAGCGGCGGACGGGUGAGUAACACGUGGGUAACCUACCUAUAAGACUGGGAUAACUUCGGCAAACCGGAGCUAAUACCGGAUAAUAUUUAGCUUCGCAUGAAGCAAUAGUGAAAGACGGUUCUGCUGUCACUUAUAGAUGGACCCGCGGUGUAUUAGCUAGUUGGUGAGGUAACGGCUCACCAAGGCAACGAUACAUAGCCGACCUGGGAGGGUGAUCGGCCACACUGGGACUGAGACACGGCCCAGACUCCUACGGGAGGCAGCAGUAGGGAAUCUUCCGCAAUGGACGAAAGUCUGACGGAGCAAUGCCGCGUGAGUGAAGAAGGUUUUCGGAUCGUAAAACUCUGUUGUAAGGGAAGAACAAGUACGUUAGUAACUGAACGUACCUUGACGGUACCUUACCAGAAAGCCACGGCUAACUACGUG